GUUGGUUUGGCCGAGUGGUUAUGGCGCUGUGUUCAGGCCGCAGUGUGAAAACGCGUGGGUUCGAAUCCCACAACCAACA
RNAcentral lists this transfer RNA (79 nucleotides) under Kwoniella heveanensis CBS 569. RNAcentral describes it as "tRNA-Leu (CAG) (tRNA-Leu-CAG-1-1)". It matches the Rfam family "tRNA". Rfam says of the family: Transfer RNA (tRNA) molecules are approximately 80 nucleotides in length. Their secondary structure includes four short double-helical elements and three loops (D, anti-codon, and T loops). The record is from RNAcentral. Lineage: Eukaryota; Fungi; Basidiomycota; Tremellomycetes; Tremellales; Cryptococcaceae. RNAcentral also lists the same sequence under 1 other name.